UUGUGAUUUCUGGUAAUGCACUUGG
This 25-nucleotide unclassified non-coding RNA is filed under the name Mus musculus (house mouse). RNAcentral's name for it is "oocyte_clustered_small_RNA6361". Lineage: Eukaryota; Metazoa; Chordata; Mammalia; Rodentia; Muridae. The record is from RNAcentral.